Molecule: long non-coding RNA, 1415 nt
Filed under: Coturnix japonica (Japanese quail)
Lineage: Eukaryota; Metazoa; Chordata; Aves; Galliformes; Phasianidae
Description: lncRNA (ENSCJPG00005001952.1)
Source: RNAcentral
CAUCAUGGUGUCAUGGCGGACAAAAUGGCGGACAUCAUGGCGGACAUCAUGGUGUCAUGGCAGACAUCAUGGUGUCAUGGCGGACAAAAUGGCGGGCAACAUGGUGGACAACAGGGUGUCAAGAUGGCGGACAUCAUCAUGGCGGACAACAUGGCGGACAUCAUGGUGUCAUGGCUGCCAUCAUCAUGGCUGCUAUCAGUAUGGUGACCAAUAUGGCUGCCAUCAUCAUGGCGGCCAUCAUCAUGCCUCUGCCGCACCGACAGCUGCCGCGGGACCCUCAACUGAGGGCAACAUGGCCGACAACGUGGCGGACAUCAUGGCGGACAACAUGGUGUCAAGAUGGCAGACAACGGGGUGUCAAGAUGGCGGACAACAUGGCGGACAACAUGGCGGACAACAUGGUGUCAUGGCAGACAACAUGGCGGACAUCAUCAUGGCGGCCAUGACACCUUGUCGGCCAUGACACCUCAAUGGCGGCCAUGACACCUUGUCAGCCAUGACACCCCAUUGGCAGCCAUGACACCUCAAUGGCGGCCAUGACACCCCAUUGGCGGCCAUGACACCUUGUCGGCCAUGACACCUCAAUGGCGGCCAUGACACCUCAAUGGCGGCCAUGACACCCCAAUGGCGGCCAUGACACCUCGAUGGCGGCCAUGACACCCCAUUGUCGGCCAUGACACCCCAUUGGCGGCCAUGACACCUCAAUGUCGGCCAUGACACCUCGAUGGCGGCCAUGACACCCCAUUGUCGGCCAUGACACCCCAAUGGCGGCCAUGACACCCCACUGGCGGCCAUGACACCUCAAUGGCGGCCAUGACACCCCAUUGUCGGCCAUGACACCCCAAUGGCGGCCAUGACACCUCAAUGGCGGCCAUGACACUUCAAUGGCGGCCAUGACACCUCAAUGGCGGCCAUGACACCUUGUCAGCCAUGACACCCCAUUGGCGGCCAUGACACCUCAAUGGCGGCCAUGACGCCUUGGCGGCCAUGACACCUCAAUGGCGGCCAUGACACCUUGUCGGCCAUGACACCUUGUCAGCCAUGACACCCCACUGUCGGCCAUGACACCCCAUUGGCGGCCAUGACACCUCAAUGGUGGCCAUGACACCCCAAUGGCGGCCAUGACACCUCAAUGGCAGCCAUGACACUUCAAUGGCGGCCAUGACACCCCAUUGGUGACCAUGACACCUCAAUGGUGGCCAUGACACCCCACUGUCGGCCAUGACACCUCAAUGGCAGCCAUGACACCUCCCUGUUGCCCCCCCCCGCCCCCAUUUUUGGCUGUUUCUUGUAGAAACACGGGCCAUUGUGGGGCUGUACAUGCUGUACAAUGCACCCCCCCAUUGUACAGACCCCCCCACCCUAAAUCCCCCCAUACCCCCCCCAUAUUGUAAAUGCCCCCUGUACAUAUGUUU